UACGGAGGGAGCUAGCGUUGUUCGGAAAUACUGGGCGUAAAGCGCACGUAGGCGGCGCAGCAAGUCAGGGGUGGAAUCCCGGGGCUCAACCUCGGAACUGCCCUUGAAACUGCAGUGCUAGAAUCUUGGAGAGGUCAGUGGAAUUCCGAGUGUAGAGGUGAAAUUCGUAGAUAUUCGGAAGAACACCAGUGGCGAAGGCGACUGACUGGACAAGUAUUGACGCUGAGGUGCGAAAGCGUGGGGAGCAAACAGG
RNAcentral lists this ribosomal RNA (253 nucleotides) under uncultured bacterium. Its description in RNAcentral is "partial 16S ribosomal RNA". It matches the Rfam family "Bacterial small subunit ribosomal RNA", at positions 524 to 776 of the family's 1533-position model. The record is from RNAcentral.